This is a long non-coding RNA of Mus musculus (house mouse), 4596 nucleotides long. RefSeq annotates it as predicted gene, 41795. The record is from RefSeq and is a predicted model, not a curated record. NCBI's taxonomy places the organism in Eukaryota, Metazoa, Chordata, Mammalia, Rodentia, Muridae. The transcript is spliced from 4 exons.
GGGGCGGGGGCGGGGCAUGAGUGCUGCUUUAAGUUAACUCAAAAUCGGAGUGCAAGCCUAGGCGGUAAGUGAACCUUUGAGAAACGCGGUCCCCAGGUUGUCCUCAGGACACACUCAGGUGUCAGCUCUAUUUUAUUUCCUUACACUGAAUAAUCCCCUUUGGGGGUUCCUGUGUUGGGAUCUUUUCAUUUCUAUUAGGCUUUCUUUAUCAUUGCUCCUCAAUUUUACAUUCAGCACCCCUUUCAGUUUCUCUAAGCUUGUCUCCAAUUCUUUCCCAAGCUCGCCCAGGACAUAUGAAAUAUGAAAUUUAUAUGUCUCUCAGUGAAAGCCUCCACACAUAUCUGACCCCGGAGCACACAGAAGAUCUGCCUGGAUUAUCCCUGUCUGACUCAUGGGCGAUAGCUGUCAUCCUACUACAUAGACACGGAACUCUCAUUCCUGAGAGGGUUUUCUUCCUCCGGGUUCAUGUUUAUCGCCCCAACAUGCACGAUUUGGCCACACAGUGGAACACCUGUUCUAGGACACAAAGCUUGGCACCUGUAGGACAGCAGGGGGCGCCUCUCUGUGCCCCUCAAGACUUGGGUGCCAGCUCCUUUGCGGUUCCCAGACUGCCUGCAGAAAGCAUACUGGCAUGAAGUUGCCUUCUUCCACCACUAGAUGGCGGAUGGAGGUCACACAUGAACGUGAAUGCCCACAUCAGAUUUAUCCACUUGACUGUUCUUCGCCAAACACACUGAGCCACGUACAGCAUGCUCAUGCUGCGAGGCUCCCCGGAUGAAGAUGACACAGUAGGGUUGUGCGGUGUCAGGUAGAUGGCGACACUGAAGCCUGCAAUGGAGGCAGGUGUUGCUUUCUUCUGAUCUCCUCAGAGAUGCUGUGUGAUCUGAUCUGAGUCAGGAGAGGAGUAGACAUUAUGUAAAUGACAGAGCGGAAGGAGGAUUGGCGUGAGAGAGGUCACUGGCAAGGACGCAGAGACUCACCAGCCCUUCUGCCCACAGUGAUCCUUUCUGUGACUGAACGUUGAUGAGUUCCAUCUUGUGCCGGCCUUGUGUGACAAUCACAGCUGCUGAGAGUUCAAGGGUGCAAUGGCAUGGUAAACAUCUGCAAUGUUUUCUUAGGCUCUUCCCUUUUGUUGCUUGGUUCCUGUAAGGUAAAUACCUUUGAUCAGUAUUCCCUGCUGCCAUGAUGUUCCUGCCUUGCCACAGACCACAGAGCUAUGGACCAGUUGAUCAUUGGAGGGAAACCUGUGAAACCAUGAGCCCAAGUUAAUCCUUUUCUCCCUUGAGAUGUUUAUCUAGGGGAUUUCGUCUUCAUGGCAAAAAGCUAAAGACAGAAGACUACACAGUAUGAACAGAAAUGAAGCUGCAAAGAAGACUCCGAGACCAGACCAGCUUGCCUAGACAAGGGAGAAUCCAGAUGCGCUGCCUGGAAGAGGCUUAGGCUGGACAGAAGCACCUGGAAAGGACACUCUUCAACCCGUUGAGCCGCAGUGAGGCUCUGAGAAGGGACGUAGGGUGGUCUGAGCAAUUUAAAGCAUGCAGCUUUAUAGAUGAUGUCACACUAUGAGCAGUGGCCAAAUCUCUGCAAGGGUCACUGCUUCAUGAGAAUACUUUUCCUUGGGAGAUGUGACACACGCUCCAGCGAGGGAGCUCAAGACGGAAGAAAGCAUAGCUACCACAGAAGCCCAACUGGGUGGACCAAUGCGCUUAUUGGGGUUACUUAUCGGAGCACAAAAGACUCAAAGACAGCUGUAUUAGCAAUAUCCAAAAACAGGGCUGGGAACCCGGAGCACCAUCUGUCGGUCUCCUCACCAGAACCGUUUCUUUAAUGCCAGCCAACCACGUCAGCUCUGGAUCAGUUGCGGCGCCGACUUGGUACUCAGUCCCCCAUCUCUGGUUAGAAAUGGGAGAGCAGCCAUUGGAUGCUUCCCGAGACUCUGCACGUAAGCGGCCAUGAGUGAGCCCACGUGAAUAGCCUAGGAACAGCUUCGCUCUCCUGUUCUGAGCCCCAUGCGGAUGCAGAGCACAGGUGGCCAGCGUAUUUUCACAUGCUGCUCUGCCCUGGACCUUGGAUCACACCCUCGCUACCCUUCCAUCAUAAUAUGGCUUCCUCUUCGUGCUCGGUCGUUUCCAGUUGAUUCUAGAAGGUUUCCUGGGUUUUUCUGCAGGUGUUCGUGCAGCUGAUGGAGUAGACAGUUAUUCUUCCCCCUUAAUUUGUUUAGCUCUUCGUGCAGUAGAUUUCAUACUAUGUGUAUAUAUUUUAAAAGGUUUAUUUGUUUUGGCAGGUUUAUACUCUACCAUCGUACUAUGUCAUGAGCACAUCACAAUAUAAAGUGGUCCCUGCAAUUAGGUUAGCAGUGGCUAUGACUUCAAAAUACUUGGCUGCUUUAGAGGUUUUGACAGCGUGAACAAAGUGCUCCCUUUGAGCGCUGUCACCUAGGGAUGGAUGUGUUUGUGGCAUUCACGGGGCAGAAGUGAGGUAAGACAACCACAUCUCCCUAUUAUGGUGCCAGAUAGAGUCUGCCCCUCCUUGAAUUUAAAGACUAGUACAGUUGGAAAACGCCACACCCGCCUGUUGUUUGUUGAGCGCUAAUGACUGAACAUGCCUUUGAUCUUGUGUCUCUUCUACACCUGAACUUGGGUUUGUAUUGCAAGUAUGUACACACUGGUAUGUCUCAGUCAGUGUUCUGUGUACUGAAGAGACACCAUGAUCACGACAAUGAUUACCAAAGAAAGCAUUUACUGGAGGCUUGCUUACGGUUUCAGAGGUUUCGUUCAUUAUCAUCAUGGUGGGGAGCAUAGUGGCAGACAGGCAGACAUGGUGCUGGAGAAGGAGCUGAGAGUUCUACAUCUGGAUCCGCAGGCAGCAGAAAGAGAGAGAUCUUGGUCAGAGCUUAGUAUUUUGAAACCUCAAAGCCCACCCCCGAGUGACACAGUCCCUACAACAAGGCCACACCUCCUAACCCUUUCAAAUGGUGUCACUCCCUAAGAAUUCAAAUAUGAGAAACUGCGAGUCCAUUCUUAUUCCAAGCAGCACACAGUAUUUCUAGUGACUUCUUGGAGACGAUGCAUUACUCUGUGUAUAUCUUGACAUGUCUGAUACUUACCAAGCUGAUUAAAAUUGCCGUUCUAACUUUAGUUGGAAUCCUUCUGGUUGCUUUAAGGUUAUAGGACAAUGUGUUGCCAAUGUCAAAUACCUUGUCUCUCUUCUGAACAUUAUCUUCAGGUUUGGGGGACUCUGUAUGAUAAUACACUCCGUCAAUAUAGACAGCACAGGGAUAGGGACAGGGACAGUAUUAACAUGGACUUGUUUGCUUUAAAAGAAAACUUAAGCAUCUUUGUCAGACCCCUUGGAGGCUUGUUGUAUGUCUUCCUGAUUGUUAAGUAAAAAUAGAGACCAUAUUAUUGUCUGUACUCUGAAAUAUGUCUUACACACUAAACAUAUGUUGUAAAUAAUAAUGUUAAUAAGAGUGCUCUGAACUACGAAACCUCUUCCUAGAGAUCUAUCUCCCCAACCACCCCCCCCCCCCCACACACACACACACACUUCAAAGCUUCCCUCUUUGCUUUGUUUUUCCUGGCAUUUUAGCGGAGUUAUUUUGAGACAACAUUGUUGUUCUCUUUAUGCGUAUACUGUGUUUAUAUCUUCUGAUGAUCUUUUCAGAGAAUCCUGUUAUCACUUGGGCUUUGUGGGCUCAGGGAUGCUACUGCUGUUGCUCUGGACUGAAAGUGGAAUCCUUACUAUUGAUUGUCCACUGGUCAGGGAGCCCUGCAGGAGGCAAAACCUCUAGCAUACCCGAGAGGGUUAGCUUGACUGGUUUAACUGUGUGACAUUGCUAUGAGGAAAGUAACUAAGUCACAAGAACUUGUAACAAACUUACUCACGUUUGCUCAAGGCAGCUAAGAAGCAGAGGAAUUAAGAUUUGAACUUGGGCCUCCUGGCUUCAAGGUUUGACUGACUCUCCCCACCUCUCUCCUCCACUUCUCCCCUCCCUGGUGUUCCUCUCUUCCUCUCCUUCCCUUUCCUUUUCCCUCCCCUUCAUUUCCCCUCUCUCCCCUUCCCUUUCUCUUUUCUCCCCCUCUCUUCUUUUUUCUCUUCUCUCUUUUCUUUCCUUUGAUUUCACACCCCCUUCCUUCCUUUUUGAGGUAGAGUCUUGCUCUGGAGUCCAGGCUGGCCUGGAAGUUGGCUUUCUCCUCAGCAGAACUGGAGUUACCAUCCUACAAUGUCGUGAAGCAUGGCUCUUUUGGACUCAAUGCUUUGCCAGCAGUUUGCCUUCUGGCCACAAUCCAGUGAAUUGCCUCUGCUGCAGGCUCUUGGUUCCCUACCUGCCAGAGGACAACAUAGUGUGCACUUCUGGUCCUGAAAGGAAGUACUUUUAAGACACCAUUCUCUGAAAGCAGAUGACCGUGAUCUAUCUUCCAAUCGCUCUUGGGCCUGUAAGAUGUCCUGCCCCAUGUCCACAAAGUAGCCAUGACUCUAUCUGUGGUGUGUUGAUGAUGCCUUAUUUCUAAAACCACAUUGUACCAGAGAACUGGAGUUGUUAAAAUAAUAAAUACUCAAUAUAUGGACCUAAAACAUGCAUGUGCUCAUAAGGAU